GACGAACGCUGGCGGCGUGCUUAACACAUGCAAGUCGAACGGAAAGGCCCUGCUUUUGUGGGGUGCUCGAGUGGCGAACGGGUGAGUAACACGUGAGUAACCUGCCCUUGACUUUGGGAUAACUUCAGGAAACUGGGGCUAAUACCGGAUAGGAGCUCCUGAUGCAUGGUGGGGGGUGGAAAGUUUCGGCGGUUGGGGAUGGACUCGCGGCUUAUCAGCUUGUUGGUGGGGUAGUGGCUUACCAAGGCUUUGACGGGUAGCCGGCCUGAGAGGGUGACCGGCCACAUUGGGACUGAGAUACGGCCCAGACUCCUACGGGAGGCAGCAGUGGGGAAUAUUGCACAAUGGGCGGAAGCCUGAUGCAGCAACGCCGCGUGCGGGAUGACGGCCUUCGGGUUGUAAACCGCUUUCGCCUGUGACGAAGCGUGAGUGACGGUAAUGGGUAAAGAAGCACCGGCUAACUACGUG
Molecule: ribosomal RNA, 468 nt
Filed under: uncultured bacterium
Lineage: Bacteria
Description: partial 16S ribosomal RNA
Rfam family: Bacterial small subunit ribosomal RNA
Source: RNAcentral